This 439-nucleotide ribosomal RNA is filed under the name uncultured bacterium. Its description in RNAcentral is "partial 16S ribosomal RNA". It matches the Rfam family "Bacterial small subunit ribosomal RNA", at positions 339 to 795 of the family's 1533-position model. The record is from RNAcentral.
CUACGGGCUGCAGCAGUGGGGAAUAUUGCACAAUGGAGGAAACUCUGAUGCAGCAACGCCGCGUGGAGGAUGACACUUUUCGGAGCGUAAACUCCUUUUAUAUAGGAAGAAGAUGACGGUACUAUAUGAAUAAGCGCCGGCUAACUCCGUGCCAGCAGCCGCGGUAAUACGGAGGGCGCAAGCGUUACUCGGAAUCACUGGGCGUAAAGAGCGUGUAGGCGGAUUAAAAAGUCAGAAGUGAAAUCCUAUAGCUUAAAUAUAGAACUGCUUCUGAAACUCUUAAUCUAGAAUAUGGGAGAGGUAGAUGGAAUUUCUGGUGUAGGGGUAAAAUCCGUAGAGAUCAGAAGGAAUACCGAUUGCGAAGGCGAUCUACUAGAACAUUAUUGACGCUGAGACGCGAAAGCGUGGGGAGCAAACAGGAUUAGAUACACGUGUAGUC